Molecule: ribosomal RNA, 588 nt
Filed under: Vishniacozyma victoriae
Lineage: Eukaryota; Fungi; Basidiomycota; Tremellomycetes; Tremellales; Bulleribasidiaceae
Description: eukaryotic LSU rRNA
Rfam family: Eukaryotic large subunit ribosomal RNA
Source: RNAcentral
GAUCCUUGUACGGCGAGUGAACCGGGAUGAGCUCAAAUUUAAAAUCUGGCGUCUUUCAGGCGUCCGAGUUGUAAUCUAUAGAGGCGUUUUCCGCGCCGGACCGCGUCCAAGUCUCUUGGAAUAGAGUAUCAAAGAGGGUGACAAUCCCGUACUUGACGCGACAACCGGUGCUCUGUGAUACGUUCUCAAUGAGUCGAGUUGUUUGGGAAUGCAGCUCUAAAUGGGUGGUAAAUUCCAUCUAAGGCUAAAUAUUGGCGAGAGACCGAUAGCGAACAAGUACCGUGAGGGAAAGAUGAAAAGCACUUUGGAAAGAGAGUUAAACAGCACGUGAAAUUGUUAAAAGGGAAACGAUUGAAGUCAGUCGUGUGAAAGGUAUUCAGCCGUCUCUGGCGGUGUAUUUGCCUUUCACGGGUCAACAUCAGUUUGAUCCGGUAGAAAAAGGCGGGAGGAAGGUGGCACCCUCGGGUGUGUUAUAGCCUCCUGUCAUAUGUGCCGGACCAGACUGAGGAACGCAGCUUGCCGCAAGGCCGGGGUUCGCCCACGUACAAGCUUAGGAUGUUGACAUAAUGGCUUUAAACGACCCGCUAA